UUAAUAAAAUUUAAACAUAUCUAAAUUUUUAAUAGUAAUAAGUUUUACUUGUGCAUGGGAAGGGGGUGUGGGGACGAAGCCCUACGGAUUAUUUUACAUUGAAUUAUUAUAGCCCUCCCCCUCAAAAUUACAACCAAAUAUCCGCCUAUGUAGCAUAUACAUCUUAGGGUGGCUUCCUGAACCCUGACACAUACUACAAACACAAUCAACAUUAUUAUAGCUACCCAUAUUAAUUAUUAUAUAUUUAUAUUUGUUUGUAUAUUUGGCACUUUCAAAUCUUUACGUUUUAUUCAACAAUCUAUAGAUCCAGAUGAAUAGGUAGUUAUGAAUUUAAAGUGUUUGCUCCAGAAACCAGAUUGGGGCCCUCAAAUGUACGUAGGCUCCACGCGAUACCAGUGCAAUUGCACCACUUGGUACCCUACGUGGGCGCCACUGCAAUUAUAAAUGUUUUUAUAUUUUAAAUGUAUGUGAACAAUAUUUGUUCACAUGUUCGAGUGUUUAAAGUAUUCAUCACUAUUCACGAUUUUUAUUUUGAUGUCGCCUGUAGUUUAUAAGGAAUAGAAAAUAUCAUACACCAGAACUAGAUUAAAUCGGUGUAACGUGGCCAGUGUGUAACAACGCAACAAUGUGUUAAAGUCUUAAAUUGUAUUCAAUAUAGAAUAAAGAAUACUGGAGACAAUUUGAUGGUUAAAAUUUUAAAUAAAUCAACAAAAACGAUUUAAUAGUAAAACAACGAUGGUCAUGACAGGUAGAGUUUCUAUACUGGAUAACUGGAUACGUCUGCAUUUAUCCGGAUCCCUUAUAUAUGUUACAGUAAAUUACCGAUCACUAGGUAAACCUUGGUUUUACUAGUUAAUGCUAGGUUUUACUGUUUGUACUCAGUAAAUGCUGAAAUUCUAAAUUUUAUUAGGGCUUUUACUAAACACGUUGUGUACAUCUUAGGAUAUACAAAUUGACUUAGUAAAAGCUGCUCAAUACACGACACAUAACAUUUAAGCUGCGUAAAAUUUUGUAGAACAGUGUAAUAUGUGUUAUGCCUUGUGCGCGUAAUAUUUAUAUUGAAUUGUGUUUAAUUAAUGUAAUUUUUAAUUAUAUUUAUUUUCAUUGUUAAUUUGACUUAAAUAUGGCUAAUAUAGAAAGGUUUUAUGACGUUUUAAAUCCAAUAAUUAAAAAAAAAGAUUCUAGUAAUACUUUUUAUUUAACACGUGAAAUGUACAAUACGUAUUUACAAGAAGUGAAGAACGUAAAAACAAUCGCUAACAAAAAAUCAAUUCACUAUCGGAGAUUAAAACGUUUUGAUGUUCUUUGUAUUGGGAAUAAAGACAAACUUAUUUUUCCAGUGGAAAGUGGAUAUGAAGAUAUUCGAUACUACGUAUGUAAUGACGAACUUUUUGAUAUUAUACACGCAGCUCAUAUUGAAACAGGACAUGGUGGUAGGGAUCGGAUAAAUCAUAUGCUAAAAAAAAAAUUAAAAAAUAUUAAUGUGGAAGCUAUAAAUGUGUACUUGAAAAUGUGUGAAACAUGCCAGAAAAAGAAUAGUAUACCAAAAAAAGAACUCGUUGUUAAACCGAUAUUGCACAAUGAAAUGAAUUCUCCUCAAUAUCAAAUUGAUUUAAUUGAUAUCCAAUCAAACCCAGAUAUUGGUUUUAAAUACAUUAUGGUGUAUCAAGAUCACCUGACAAAAUUUGUGAUUAUACGACCUUUACAGUGUAAACGUGCAGAAGAAAUUGCAUAUCAACUUCUAGACAUAUUCACUCUCUUUGGAGCUCCUAGUAUACUACACUCUGAUAACGGGCGAGAAUUUGUAAAUAAAAUUGUUACCAGUAUAUGUGAAAUGUGACCUCAAGUUAAAAUAGUUCAUGGCAAAGCUUGUCACAGCCAAUCUCAAGAAUCGGUUGAACGAGCUAAUCAAGACAUCGAAAGUAUAAUAGCAACUUGGAUGGAAACUAAUGACAAUGCAAAAUGGUCUGAAUUUUUACGAUUUGUUCAAGCAAUGAAAAAUUCAGCAUUUCAUUCAGGUAUAAAACGAUCACCCUAUGAGGCAAUGUUUGGGUGUACAAUGAAAAUGGGACUUGCUACUUCGAGCAUACCGAAAAAUGUGAUAACAGAAUUCAUUAAUGAAGAUGACCUUAUAUCUGUCCUUGAAGACUCUAAAAUUACAAUUUAUAAUGAGAAUGAGGAGACGAAUACUACUGAAAAAAUCAAUGAGGACAUAGACAUUGAUCAUAACCAAGGGAAAAAAAUCGAUAUUGAGAUCUACAAAAAUAAAGGGGUAGAUAUAAAAACAAAAAUAGACAACGAUGAAAAACAAUUUUAUCGAAGAAAGAUAAAAAUGAAAAAGUAAAUGAAAAAAUAUUACUCGAACGUUCUACUAAAAUUAAACGACAACAAGAAGAGUCACUACAAUUUCUGGAAAAACAAGCAAAAAAAAUGAAAACAAUAACUAAUAAAAAUUUUCCUGCUGCAUUAAUUGGUCAAACAGUGCGAGUGAAAAUUCCAGAUUUCGACCGAUGUGAAAUCGAUUCUCGCACAUUAUUGGCUGUAAUUGUUGAAAUUAUUGACGAAGAAUUUUAUCAAUUAGGAUCUAAAGCUGGGACAUUGAAUCAAUUAUUCACUAGAAAUCAAUUUACUUUAUGCGAAGAAAAAUUUAUUUCAAUAUCCGAUGUUCCAAAUACAACAAGCAUACGCCAAGCUGUUGCUCAACUUUCACUAUCAGGUGGGCAAGGAUUUUUGAGGUGUGAUUGCCAGAAAAAAUGUACAACUAAAAAAUGCAAUUGCCGCCAAUCAAAUGUAUUAUGUAAUAGAAGGUGUCAUAAUAGUACAACAUGUGCAAAUAAAUAAAAAUUUUAAAUAAUUAUUUCUAACUACCCAUCAAUUUUACUGAAUUUUACUUAAUUUUUAU
RNA transcript from Sipha flava (yellow sugarcane aphid), 2902 nucleotides. It is a transcript of the gene named KRAB-A domain-containing protein 2-like, with no coding region annotated. The transcript has 2 exons. The record is from RefSeq and is a predicted model, not a curated record. NCBI's taxonomy places the organism in Eukaryota, Metazoa, Arthropoda, Insecta, Hemiptera, Aphididae.